GCAAGUCUGGUGCCAGCAGCCGCGGUAAUUCCAGCUCCAAUAGCGUAUAUUAAAGUUGUUGCAGUUAAAAAGCUCGUAGUUGAACCUUGGGUCUGGCUGGCCGGUCCGCCUCACCGCGAGUACUGGUCCGGCUGGACCUUUCCUUCUGGGGAACCUCAUGGCCUUCACUGGCUGUGGGGGGAACCAGGACUUUUACUGUGAAAAAAUUAGAGUGUUCAAAGCAGGCCUUUGCUCGAAUACAUUAGCAUGGAAUAAUAGAAUAGGACGUGCGGUUCUAUUUUGUUGGUUUCUAGGACCGCCGUAAUGAUUAAUAGGGAUAGUCGGGGGCGUCAGUAUUCAGCUGUCAGAGGUGAAAUUCUUGGAUUUGCUGAAGACUAACUACUGCGAAAGCAUUUGCCAAA
This 401-nucleotide ribosomal RNA is filed under the name uncultured bacterium. RNAcentral describes it as "SSU rRNA". It matches the Rfam family "Eukaryotic small subunit ribosomal RNA", at positions 555 to 962 of the family's 1831-position model. The record is from RNAcentral.